UACAGGUAGGCUACUGAGUAUACCCAGUGAUGGCCACCAGUCUGUGGGUGGCCGGCUAAAGAAUUGCUUCAUUUAAAAUAAAUUAUAAUUUAAUGCACCAAACUAAAGAGAAUAAUAGCAUCAAGUCUUAAGUCAAAGAUACAGUUCACUGUAGUGUACUUCCUUUUAAUCUACACACUUAAUCAAGUGUACAGAUUGUACUCAAUGUAUUUUGUUUAAUGUUCCUCAGACUGUAUUCUGGAGAUACCUCAGGCUAGUUAUAUAUCACAGAAGACUGGCCAAAGAUGAACAAAUAGCUCAACAACAGCAACAUUUAUCUUAUUAAACCAAUGAGCUAUGUUAUGUCAUCACACAUGGCCUGAGUAUGAUGAUGUUUAGUUUUUCUCCACCAGGUCUCUGAGUGUGUCUCUGUUGUGAUCUCCCACAUGGGGCCAGUAUGAUGAUGUUUGGUUUGCCUCUGGCCACCAGGUCUCUGAGUGUGUCUCUGUUGUGAUCUCCCACAUGGGGCCAGUAUGAUGAUGUUUGGUUUGUCUCUGGCCACCAGGGGCCCGUUUCAGAAAGCAGGUUUAGUGAAAACUCUGAGUUAGUUAACCCUGAGAUGAGGGAAACUCUGGUUUUUCAGUUUCACAAAGCCAGUUCAGCUUUACUCUGAGUCAGUUACCCUGGCAACAUACUCCGUGAACCUAACCUGCUCGCUGGCAGGUUUUCUUCAACUAACCCCGAGUUUCUCCUGCUCUUAAGUUGAAGCCUGCAGACUGAAGGCACUGGCAGACAUGGCGUGUCCUUUUAUUGAAGAGCCAGUUGAUGUCGAGGCGCAGAUACUUGGAUGUUUUAUCGUUCCCUGAUGAGUUUCCCUGUUUGAGCGUUUCCGUUUCUCUGCAUCAUCAAUAAUUUAUAUAAACAAUAUUCUCAGCCCUCACAUCGCUCACAUGACACAUCGUGGACACGCUCAGUUCCGAGCAAAUUCUUUGUCUUGCACUUCGUUUUUUUCCCAACGGCAGUUUUUUGUAUAACGUCGGUGAUGCAGAGCAUGUGUCCAAGGAAACUGUCUGUCGGGCUGUCCGAAAUGUGACACUUGCACUGAAACGGCUACUAUGCACGUUUGUAGUGUUCCCAAGUCACAGACCAACCAGACUUCUCAAAGAAGAGUUCCACAGAAUUGCAGGGUUUCCAGGUGUGAUUGGCUGCAUAGAUGGCACUCACAUUCCUAUCAUAGCUCCUUCAAUAAAUGAAGGAGAUUAUGUGAAUUGGAAAUCUGUCCACAGCAUUAAUGUACAGGAGAGUUUGAUGGUUAUCUACUCGGAGACAGAGGGUACCCCUGCCAGCGCUAUCUGCUGACCCCUUACCCUGACCCUGGCCCACAGCGACACUACAACUUGGCUCACUGCAGGACACGAGCCAGAGUGGAGAUGACCAUCGGCAUACUCAAGGCCCGGUUCCAGUGCCUUCGUAGGCUCAGGGUCACCCCGGAAAGGGCUUGUGACAUUAUAGUGGCAUGUUUGGUUCUCCACAACAUUGCCACUAUUAGAGGAGAACAAUGUCCUACUCUUUCCCCCAAUGAUCCAGAUAAUAAUCCUGACCCCCCUGCUGAUGCACGAGAUGGAAGAGCUGUUAGAGACAUGAUAUGCUUCAAUCAUUUCUAACUGACUCUGCCUUUUUUCUGUUGGCUAUAAUGGAGGUCAAAUUUUAAGAUAACCAGAAAACACAAAUUUGGAGACUUGUAUGUAUAAAAGGCAUUUAGGUGUUGCUUUCAUAUAGACAAUAUUAAAUACUGGCAGUGUUGGGAUUUUUCUUUGUUUAGCAGAUUUCCCUAAUUACUUAAAUAUAUUUAUCACAUGUUGAAUGCAGCCACUAAAUGCUGUUUAAUGAGGGCAGGCUAAACAACAUCACAAUUGCUUGUACUUAAAUUAUAGUUUGAACUACAUUAAUAUAGUUUGAACUACAUUUUUAUAUUUCAUUUUUAGUUGCAGCCAUGUCCGAUUGGGGCCUGUUGGGUUGCCCCUGUGCGCACAAACACACAUAUGGAAUAUAAUUGUUGAAUAAGUGGAACAUUCAAGAGUAAAAAGAUAUGCUCGCUUUCUGCAUAUGCAGUCAUUAAGAUUUGCAACUCCGCUGGGGAGAAGUAGGAGGAUCGAGGCUUGUUAGUACUUGUUGCCAUGGUGAAUCAUGUUAUCUGUGUUCCAUUGAUGGGGGCUUUUUAUAUCCUCAUGCACGAGCUUCACUCAGAGUUACCUUGACUCAGAGUUGAUUGAACUAAGCGUUAUCACCUGUUCUGAAACCGAAAAUUCAGAGUUUUACAGCUCAGAGUUGGUCAACCUAGAGUUAAGGUUUUAACUUAGAGUUUGUUGAACCUGCUUUCUGAAACGGGCCCCAGGUCUCUGAGUGUGUCUCUGUUGUGAUCUCCCACAUGGGGCCAGUAUGAUGAUGUUUGGUUUGUCUCUGGCCACCAGGUCUCUGAGUGUGUCUCUGUUGUGAUCUCCCACAUGGGGCCAGUAUGAGGAUGUUUGGUUUGUCUCUGGCCACCAGGUCUCUGAGUGUGUCUCUGUUGUGAUCUCCCACAUGGGGCCAGUAUGAGGAUGUUUGGUUUGUCUCUGGCCACCAGGUCUCUGAGUGUGUCUCUGUUGUGAUCUCCCACAUGGGGCCAGUAUGAUGAUGUUUGGUUUGUCUCUGGCCACCAGGUCUCUGAGUGUGUCUCUGUUGUGAUCUCCCACAUGGGGCCAGUAUGAUGAUGUUUGGUUUGUCUCUGGCCACCAGGUCUCUGAGUGUGUCUCUGUUGUGAUCUCCCACAUGGGGCCAGUAUGAUGAUGUUUGGUUUGUCUCUGGCCACCAGGUCUCUGAGUGUGUCUCUGUUGUGAUCUCCCACAUGGGGCCAGUAUGAUGAUGUUUGGUUUGUCUCUGGCCACCAGGUCUCUGAGUGUGUCUCUGUUGUGAUCUCCCACAUGGGGCCAGUAUGAUGAUGUUUGGUUUGUCUCUGGCCACCAGGUCUCUGAGUGUGUCUCUGUUGUGAUCUCCCACAUGGGGCCAGUAUGAUGAUGUUUGGUUUGUCUCUGGCCACCAGGUCUCUGAGUGUGUCUCUGUUGUGAUCUCCCACAUGGGGCCAGUAUGAUGAUGUUUGGUUUGUCUCUGGCCACCAGGUCUCUGAGUGUGUCUCUGUUGUGAUCUCCCACAUGGGGCCAGUAUGAUGAUGUUUGGUUUGUCUCUGGCCACCAGGUCUCUGAGUGUGUCUCUGUUGUGAUCUCCCACAUGGGGCCAGUACGAUGAUGUUUGGUUUGUCUCUGGCCACCAGGUCUCUGAGUGUGUCUCUGUUGUGAUCUCCCACAUGGGGCCAGUAUGAUGAUGUUUGGUUUGUCUCUGGCCACCAGGUCUCUGAGUGUGUCUCUGUUGUGAUCUCCCACAUGGGGCCAGUACGAUGAUGUUUGGUUUGUCUCUGGCCACCAGGUCUCUGAGUGUGUCUCUGUUGUGAUCUCCCACAUGGGGCCAGUAUGAUGA
Long non-coding RNA from Gadus macrocephalus (Pacific cod), 3489 nucleotides. RefSeq lists it as uncharacterized. The record is from RefSeq and is a predicted model, not a curated record. NCBI's taxonomy places the organism in Eukaryota, Metazoa, Chordata, Actinopteri, Gadiformes, Gadidae. The transcript is spliced from 3 exons.